This 262-nucleotide ribosomal RNA is filed under the name uncultured bacterium. RNAcentral describes it as "partial 16S ribosomal RNA". It matches the Rfam family "Bacterial small subunit ribosomal RNA", at positions 515 to 776 of the family's 1533-position model. The record is from RNAcentral.
CCGCGGUAAUACGUAGGGCGCAAGCGUUGUCCGGAAUUAGUGGGCGUAAAGAGCUCGUAGGCGGUUUGUCGCGUCUGCUGUGAAAACCCGAGGCUCAACCUCGGGCUUGCAGUGGGUACGGGCAGACGAGAGUGCGGUAGGGGAGACUGGAAUUCCUGGUGUAGCGGUAAAAUGCACAGAUAUCAGGAGGAACACCGAUGGCGAAGGCAGGUCUCUGGGCCGCAACUGACGCUGAGGAGCGAAAGCAUGGGUAGCAAACAGG